UUGAUUGAUUCAAUUUGUACUCAGACGCAAAGAUGCAGAGUUGGAUGGUCCGCCGGGGGCCCCGACGCCCGAAGGCCGGGUCGCCCCCGAGGCAACAGAGUCGGAUAACAUGGGGUUGGAGGUCGGGCCGGGGGCCCUCGCUCAGUAAUGAUCCCUCCGCAGGUUCACCUACGGAGA
RNAcentral lists this unclassified non-coding RNA (177 nucleotides) under uncultured fungus. Its description in RNAcentral is "sequence contains ITS1". Lineage: Eukaryota; Fungi. The record is from RNAcentral.